UGGGGAAUUUUGGACAAUGGGGGAAACCCUGAUCCAGCCAUCCCGCGUGUGCGAUGAAGGCCUUCGGGUUGUAAAGCACUUUUGGCAGGAAAGAAACGUCGCGGGUUAAUACCCCGCGAAACUGACGGUACCUGCAGAAUAAGCACCGGCUAACUACGUGCCAGCAGCCGCGGUAAUACGUAGGGUGCAAGCGUUAAUCGGAAUUACUGGGCGUAAAGCGUGCGCAGGCGGUUCGGAAAGAAAGAUGUGAAAUCCCAGAGCUUAACUUUGGAACUGCAUUUUUAACUACCGGGCUAGAGUGUGUCAGAGGGAGGUGGAAUUCCGCGUGUAGCAGUGAAAUGCGUAGAUAUGCGGAGGAACACCGAUGGCGAAGGCAGCCUCCUGGGAUAACACUGACGCUCAUGCACGAAAGCGUGGGGAGCAAACAGGAUUAGAUACCCUGGUAGUCCACGCCCUAGACGAUGUCAACUAGCUGUUGGGGCCUUCGGGCCUUGGUAGCGCAGCUAACGCGUGAAGUUGACCGCCUGGGGAGUACGGUCGCAAGAUUAAAACUUAAAUGAAUUGAC
RNAcentral lists this ribosomal RNA (566 nucleotides) under uncultured bacterium. RNAcentral's name for it is "partial 16S ribosomal RNA". It matches the Rfam family "Bacterial small subunit ribosomal RNA", at positions 355 to 914 of the family's 1533-position model. The record is from RNAcentral.